This 312-nucleotide ribosomal RNA is filed under the name Triticum aestivum (bread wheat). RNAcentral's name for it is "partial small subunit ribosomal RNA". The record is from RNAcentral. Lineage: Eukaryota; Viridiplantae; Streptophyta; Magnoliopsida; Poales; Poaceae.
AUGGGCGCCGUCGGUGAGGUCCUUCAGGGCAUGCCGGUGCUCCUCGCAUCGCCGCCGUGGUCGCUCCAAUCGCCGGUAUUAUCGUCUGUAGAGAGGGAGCGGCAGGGAGGAAGGCAAAAAGGUGGGCACCCGAUGGAAUCGAGACGGUCUGGUCGCAACUACAACGAGUCCACCAGGUCCAAGCCCGCGUGGCUUCGCCCGGUCUUCAAUUCCCCAACUGCCCCUUGCCACGUAUGCAAAACAGCCGUCCCAAAACACCAAGCAAGCCAUCAGGAGGUGCUUUGCCCGGUUUGUGCAGGUUCAGGGGAUUAA